GUUGGAGGGUUAAUAUUUUAUGCCAAUGUAUAAGACUAACAAAUUCAACCUCAAACCAAAAUUCUGAGUGAUUUAACUUAAUUAUCACCUCCAACAAUUCUCAAACCAAACAAUUUGGACUAGGCACCCCAGUUAAAACCUUCUGAUGGAUGCUCAAAUGACACAACUUCCAUAUUUUCUUAAAACAAAUAAAUUAAAGGAAAAGAGGAUAAACAAAAAGAAGAUAGAAAGGAAAAAGAAAAAGAAAGAGCAAAACCACUCCUCUCCUCCCCCAUGCUUCCUACUCUCCUCCCCACCCAUCUUCUUCAUUGCGCCACUACCAUGGAUGAAUUUAAGACCGAUUCUUCAGUGACAAUGCCAUGGAAUUGGUCUCUGGAAGAC
Molecule: long non-coding RNA, 381 nt
Filed under: Phoenix dactylifera (date palm)
Lineage: Eukaryota; Viridiplantae; Streptophyta; Magnoliopsida; Arecales; Arecaceae
Description: long non-coding RNA (PDAC_LNC002920)
Source: RNAcentral